RNAcentral lists this transfer RNA (63 nucleotides) under Camelus bactrianus (Bactrian camel). It matches the Rfam family "tRNA". Rfam says of the family: Transfer RNA (tRNA) molecules are approximately 80 nucleotides in length. The record is from Rfam by way of RNAcentral. RNAcentral also lists the same sequence under 2 other names. Lineage: Eukaryota; Metazoa; Chordata; Mammalia; Artiodactyla; Camelidae.
GAGGAUAUAGCUCAGUGGCAGAGCAUGUUCACAAGGUCCUGGGUUCAAUCCCCAGUAUCACCA